RNAcentral lists this ribosomal RNA (500 nucleotides) under uncultured bacterium. Its description in RNAcentral is "partial 16S ribosomal RNA". It matches the Rfam family "Bacterial small subunit ribosomal RNA", at positions 30 to 523 of the family's 1533-position model. The record is from RNAcentral.
AUUGAACGCUGGCGGCAUGCCUAACACAUGCAAGUCGAGCGGAUGAAGGGUGCUUGCACCCCGAUUCAGCGGCGGACGGGUGAGUAAUGCCUAGGAAUCUGCCCGAUAGUGGGGGACAACGUUUCGAAAGGAACGCUAAUACCGCAUACGUCCUACGGGAGAAAGUGGGGGCUCUUCGGACCUCACGCUAUCGGAUGAGCCUAGGUCGGAUUAGCUAGUUGGUUGGGUAAAGGCUCACCAAGGCGACGAUCCGUAACUGGUCUGAGAGGAUGAUCAGUCACACUGGAACUGAGACACGGUCCAGACUCCUACGGGAGGCAGCAGUGGGGAAUAUUGGACAAUGGGCGAAAGCCUGAUCCAGCCAUGCCGCGUGUGUGAAGAAGGUCUUCGGAUUGUAAAGCACUCUAAGUUGGGAGGAAGGGUUGUAGGUUAAUACCUUGCAGCCUUGACGUUACCGACAGAAUAAGCACCGGCUAACUUCGUGCCAGCCGCCGCCGUAA